AAGACAUGAUGUGGACACUUCCUUUGCAUUUUCUUAAAUCUCUCCCAGGCUUCAUACAAAGAUUCACCAUCAAACUAAACAAAACUGGUAAUAUUAUUUUUAAGUUU
Small nucleolar RNA from Juglans microcarpa x Juglans regia, 107 nucleotides. NCBI's taxonomy places the organism in Eukaryota, Viridiplantae, Streptophyta, Magnoliopsida, Fagales, Juglandaceae. The record is from RefSeq and is a predicted model, not a curated record.